This 257-nucleotide ribosomal RNA is filed under the name uncultured bacterium. Its description in RNAcentral is "partial 16S ribosomal RNA". It matches the Rfam family "Bacterial small subunit ribosomal RNA", at positions 524 to 776 of the family's 1533-position model. The record is from RNAcentral.
UACGGAGGGGGCUAGCGUUGUUCGGAAUUACUGGGCGUAAAGCGCACGUAGGCGGACUGUUAAGUCGGGGGUGAAAUCCUGGGGCUCAACCUCAGAAUUGCCUCCGAUACUGGCAGUCUCGAGUGGCGGGAGAGGUGAGUGGAAUUCCCAGUGUAGAGGUAGAAAUUCGUAGAUAGUUGGGAAGAACACCAGUGGCGGAAGGCGGCUCACUGGCCCGUAACUGACGCUGAGGUGCGAAAGCGUGGGGAGCAAACAGG